UUUGUACUUUGUUGUAUUUGCUUCGGGAAUAUGUUAACAAGUGACACAUAUUAAGUAGCUAACUAAGGAAAGAUCACAGUUUUUGAUACAUUGAUUGUUCUUCAUAUACUGUGAAACUGAUGCUUUGAAAAUUGGAACUUUCUUUAUGACGUAUAUUUAACAAUCCAAUCUGCCACUUCGAAUUGCUUAAUUCAGACUUCUUUUCUUGGCGACCUGAUCUACAAAUAAGUCUUGUAAUUUCUCUGCAGGCAAAAGUAUCAUGUGAGGUACUGGUCAAUACAAAGAACCAAACAAUUGUUCGUCAAAGCUGUUACCCUGAGGUGAGUAGAAUUCAAGCUCUCAACUUGUAUUCAUAAACUCACUGCCAAGUUAAGAAUCUCUUUUCCUCUCAAGUUGCCAACAAAGUGUCAUAAGAUUCUCUGGAAUUAGUACAAGUUGAGAUGUCUAACAACCAGAACCAGGGACAGUUUCUAGCGGUCUUAAUAGAUAAAAUAGUCAUACAUGUGAACGGUAACAAUUCUUCUUGUAUCCACAGCGACUAGGAAGCUCAAUGGCAUCAUUGCAAAGCUAAUUCAGUGGCUUUCAUCUGCGAUGCUCAUGCAAGAAAUGAUCUGGCGAGUGGAUCAAGAGGACAAGGUACAUCGUCAAUCCGGGUAAAAGCUACUUCCCCUAAGGCACAGAAAUCAGAGUGGUGGCAAAAGUGUAUUGACUUGGGUUCUGGUACGAUGAUCAAUAUGUGAGGAUCCAGUAAUAGUUGAAAGAGGAUGUGUGGAUGUAAAUAUUAAUUGAGUGGAAAUUGUGUUAAAAGAGCUUAUAUCCAUGUACAAAGUAACAAAGAUGACUACUUUUGAUCAACAGAAAUAGUACUUGAUGCAUAUUUAACACAGGAUGUGUGCAGAGGUGUUUCUUUACAUCACGGUGCUCAUUUUUGUGCACCUUACUUGUGGGACUGGACUCGAUUACGAGUGUCGAAUCCAACCUGACCGACCCAUGUGUAAUUUGACUGGUGAUAUCUGCACCUGAAGGAUCUGGGAUGAACUGUAGGAGAGCACAGGCACCAGUUGGCUGUGCCUCCGCCACCUCCGCCAUUCCCUCUUGCUUCCUCAUUCGAUGCCUCGUUGCCAUCGGCUUCGCGUGCCACCGUCUCUGGCGGGGCAACCUGUCUUUGGCGACUCCUGGUCCUUCGGGACACUCCAACCACCGGAAAACUAGGUUGACACAUCGGUCUUUUCUAUUCCCUUUCUCUUGCCCCUUAAUUUCUUGGAAUGUAAUUUACUGCGAUUGUGCGAGGAAGGACUUGGUAUUUGUUACAAGAGCAAGAAACGUGAGGAUUCUAAGGAAACAGAGGAGAUAUGAAGUCAGGACCAAAAAAAACAAAGUUUGGAUAUGUCUGAAAGGAGAGCAAGAAACGUGAGGAUUCUAAGGAAACAGAGGAGAUAUGAAGUCAGGACCAAAAAAACAAAGUAUGGAUAUGUCUGAAAGGCAAUUAGAGGCUGCCAAUUGGAUAUGUCUGGGAGGCAAUUAGAGGCUGCCAAUGUCAUUCUUGUUAGGCUUUUUUGUUGGGUUGUGGAAGGGUGGCUUUGUGUGCUUGGAGGGGGGGAUCGUGUCGCUGUGUGGAUGGCG
Molecule: long non-coding RNA, 1623 nt
Filed under: Eucalyptus grandis
Lineage: Eukaryota; Viridiplantae; Streptophyta; Magnoliopsida; Myrtales; Myrtaceae
Description: long non-coding RNA (EGRA_LNC006171)
Source: RNAcentral